Molecule: ribosomal RNA, 441 nt
Filed under: uncultured bacterium
Lineage: Bacteria
Description: partial 16S ribosomal RNA
Rfam family: Bacterial small subunit ribosomal RNA
Source: RNAcentral
CCUACGGGUGGCAGCAGUGGGGAAUAUUGCACAAUGGGGGAAACCCUGAUGCAGCGACGCCGCGUGAGUGAAGAAGUAUUUCGGUAUGUAAAGCUCUAUCAGCAGGGAAGCAGAAAGACGGUACCUGACUAAGUAGCCCCGGCUAACUACGUGCACGCAGCCGCGGUAAUACGUAGGGGGCAAGCGUUAUCCGGAUUUACUGGGUGUAAGGGGUGCGUAGGAGGGUGUGGAAGUCUGAAGGGAAAGCCCAGGGCUCAACCCUGGGACUGCGUUGGAAACUGUGGAGCUAGAGUGCUGGAGAGGUAAGUGGAAUUCCUAGUGUAGCGGGGAAAUGCGUAGAUAUUAGGAGGAACACCAGUGGCGAAGGCGGCUUACUGGACAGGAACUGACGUUGAGGCUCGAAAGCGUGGGGAGCAAACAGGAUUAGAUACCCCGGUAGUC